This 241-nucleotide ribosomal RNA is filed under the name uncultured bacterium. RNAcentral's name for it is "partial 16S ribosomal RNA". It matches the Rfam family "Bacterial small subunit ribosomal RNA", at positions 536 to 776 of the family's 1533-position model. The record is from RNAcentral.
AAGCGUUGUCCGGAAUCAUUGGGCGUAAAGCGCGCGUAGGUGGCCUCAUAAGUCCGCUGGGAAAGUCAAAGGCUCAACCUUUGAAAGCCGGUGGAUACUGUGAGGCUAGAGUACGGAAGAGGCGAGUGGAAUUCCUGGUGUAGCGGUGGAAUGCGCAGAUAUCAGGAGGAACACCAAUAGCGAAGGCAGCUCGCUGGGACGUUACUGACACUGAGGCGCGAAAGCGUGGGGAGCGAACAGG